GUUAGCUCAGUUGGUAGAGCACCUGACUCUUAAUCAGGGUGCCCAGGGUUCGAGUCCCUG
Molecule: transfer RNA, 60 nt
Filed under: Clostridium polynesiense
Lineage: Bacteria; Bacillati; Bacillota; Clostridia; Eubacteriales; Clostridiaceae
Rfam family: tRNA
About the family: Transfer RNA (tRNA) molecules are approximately 80 nucleotides in length. Their secondary structure includes four short double-helical elements and three loops (D, anti-codon, and T loops).
Source: RNAcentral